Molecule: regulatory RNA element, 57 nt
Organism: Hylemonella gracilis ATCC 19624
Lineage: Bacteria; Pseudomonadati; Pseudomonadota; Betaproteobacteria; Burkholderiales; Comamonadaceae
Rfam family: Xanthine riboswitch aptamer (NMT1 RNA)
About the family: Later it was reported as a ncRNA that recognised Xanthine.
Source: Rfam
CCCAAGAGUAGAAGCGUUCAGCGCAGGCCCAGCCAGCGCCCGGAAAUUGCUCUGGAA